This 215-nucleotide long non-coding RNA is filed under the name Elaeis guineensis (African oil palm). Its description in RNAcentral is "long non-coding RNA (EGUI_LNC010208)". Lineage: Eukaryota; Viridiplantae; Streptophyta; Magnoliopsida; Arecales; Arecaceae. The record is from RNAcentral.
CUCAUCUUUAUCCUUUCUUUUGGAUAAGAUGUUUGACGUUGUUAUAAAAGGAGGAGAAGAGUGGGGCGUGCAAGAAGAAGUUUUUUGAAGAAAAAUUUUGGGGUGUGAGAAGUCUUGUGCGUGAGAAGAAAGUCCAUAUCCUUCCAAAAGAAAAAGAAAGAAAGAAAGAAAAGUGGGUGCAAGGUUUCCAGUGAGUUCCCUAGAGUUUUAGCCUG